This 580-nucleotide ribosomal RNA is filed under the name uncultured rumen bacterium 626pARRO. Its description in RNAcentral is "partial 16S ribosomal RNA". It matches the Rfam family "Bacterial small subunit ribosomal RNA", at positions 1 to 597 of the family's 1533-position model. Lineage: Bacteria; Pseudomonadati; Bacteroidota. The record is from RNAcentral.
UGACAACAGAUUGUCCNGCUCAGGNUGANGNUAGUACAGGUUAACACAUGCAGUCGAGGGCAGCGGGUCUUAGCUUGUUAAGACUGCCGGCGACCGGCGCACGGGUGAGUAACGCGUAUCCAACCUUCCCNUUAGUAGGGCAUAGCCCGUASAAAUGCGGAUUAAUACCCUAUGUUCUUCGUCGAUGGCAUCUGAAGUGAAGCAAAGGUUUACCGCUAAGGGAUGGGGAUGCGUCUGAUUAGGCAGCAGGCGGGGUAACGGCCCACCUGGCCCACGAUCAGUAGGGGUUCUGAGAGGAAGGUCCCCCACAUUGGAACUGAGACACGGUCCAAACUCCUACGGGAGGCAGCAGUGAGGAAUAUUGGUCAAUGGACGUGAGUCUGAACCANCCAAGUAACGUGCAGGAUGACNGCCCUAUGGGUUGUAAACUGCUUUUAUGCGGGGAUAAANUGCGCCCGUGUGGCGUUUUGUAGUACCCAUGAUAAGACCGCUAAUUCCGUGCACACCCCGGUAUACGAAGUCCGGCUUACCGGAUUAUUGGUUUAAGGACCNGCGAGCUAACUNANUGAAUUNCCCCACG